Molecule: unclassified non-coding RNA, 376 nt
Filed under: soil metagenome
Description: partial contains 5.8S ribosomal RNA, internal transcribed spacer 2, and large subunit ribosomal RNA
Rfam family: 5.8S ribosomal RNA (bases 2-121)
Source: RNAcentral
AGAUGAAGAACGCAGCGAAAUGCGAUAAGUAAUGUGAAUUGCAGAAUUCAGUGAAUCAUCGAAUCUUUGAACGCACAUUGCGCCCGCCAGUAUUCUGGCGGGCAUGCCUGUUCGAGCGUCAUUUCAACCCUCAAGACCCCUUCGGGGGACUUGGUGUUGGGGACCGGCACAGGGGCCUGCCUGCUUGUCUUGCAGCGCCCUCGCCGCCCCCGAAAUGAAUUGGCGGCCUCGUCGCGGCCUCCCCUGCGUAGUAGCACAACCUCGCAACGGGAACGUGACGGCGGCCACUGCCGUAAAACAACCCCAAUUUUAUUAGAGUUGACCUCGAAUCAGGUAGGAAUACCCGCUGAACUUAAGCAUAUCAAUAAGCGGAGGA